GAUAUUUGCAGGAGGCUUGACCUAAUUUGCUUUUCUUUCUUUUUUUAUAACAGACAAUAGGGUGGCCUGAACUUGAGACUUCCACUGGAGUGAGGUGUGACCCAUUCCCACCACCCUCCCCCGCAGGGGCAGACUUCACAGAGACCCAGACCUCCUCGCAACCUGCGGAUAAAGCAGACAGUGGCCCAUCUGUGGAAACCGUGGAGCCGAGCCAGGAGCCCCCUGUGGAUGUCAGCGGGGACCCCGGUCCUCAGGAUGCUUUGGAGGUGGACCUGGCCGUGUCCGUUUUCGAGAUCUCCAUCGAAGAGAAGGUCGAGGCGCCGAGCCCCGAGGAGGAAAGGAGGCACUGGGAGGAGGGGCGCAUCGACUACAUGGGGAAGGACGCCUUCGCCCGCAUCCAGGAGAAGUUGGACCGCUUUCUGCAGUAACGGGCGGGCGGGCGUGCUGCCCGACGUGCGGGAGUCAGCGGUGAGCUGUUGCAUGGUCCCGUUGCUCGGACAUCUCCUCCAGGCCCUUCAGACGGAACCGGGUUUCAACCAUGUGCCUCGAUUUACGGCUGACUCACCUGAGUGCCUCACAGAAAUAACGCAGCCCCGCUUGAAGCCGUCCCCAGCGCCCCCGAUGCGAGCUGCCCAUGCCUUCUUGGCUGCCCCCUCUGAGAAGCCCGUUCUUCUCAGCAGACGGGAGCAGUGCUAAACUUGUGGUAGACCCUUGCCCAUGCCCCCUGCUCUGGCUCCAAGGAGCACGAGCUCCGCCUUGCACAGGUGCUACCCUGUCUGUCCUAUGUGGGGUUAGACGUCACUGCACCUUGACCUCUGCCCGUAAGCUGAGGACGCCGUAUAUGCAUUCAGGAACCCUCAAGCGUGGAAAGCCCUUUCCCCGAAGACUAGGUAGACGCUCACACGGCUUGGGGGUGAGUCUCACGUAGACUGUGCAGAGCAUGUCUGAGAAACCCGACAGCUAUUUCUUUUAUGCAAAACCCAACGGGACUGCCGAGUGCCGAUGGCUGACGCCCAAUGGGGGAAAUGGCGGAGCUGACGGAAGGGACAGCAGCCAGCUUGGGAGAUAGAGCGUCUUCUCAGUUUGGAAGAACCAAGGGUUCAUGCAGUGCAGGUGUUCUGGCGACGCCUCUUGCACGCUAGGAGCAUCUCCAGAAGCGCUUUGUUGAGAGGCAGUCCGUCCCCCUUGACUGCGUGAUGCUGGAAAUCAUCACUACCUCAGCCUACAUAACGGGUCCAGUCACCGUGCUCUCCACGUCAAGGCUGCUGUUUUGGGAACAAUUCUCACGUUUAUGAGACGGGAUGCUUGACUCCAUGAGAAAUCCUCAUCUCCAGAAGUGUCCUGGUCUUACGAAUUCAUGCAGCACGCCGGAUACCUCAUAGGGUCGCUGCUUCUGGCCACCACAGUUGCAAUUAAAAACAGGCAUCUCCGAGCUAGAGAGGGGACUGUGAUGUGAUUUGUCUUGCACGUACUGUGAAACAUCGGUGGGUGUUGUACCCAGGUUUGGGCCACACGGUAACGGCUGUGUUAUGACCUGGUAAGUGUGUUUGCCCAUAUUUCGCAUCAUGUGAAGCAGGGGAGCCCUUGGGUAGGUGAAUCUGGGGAGUCUAUGACACGAGUUGUGCCGUGAGCUUUUGCACCGUGUGAGUUAUGUAACGCUUUGUUUCCUUCCGCUCUGGGAGGCUAACGGUCUGUGGUCUUAGUUGACAUCACACACAGGAUGCUUUUGGGGCUAAUUGAAGACAGCCAUAUGGAUACAGCCUUAGAGGGAUUGGGUCGGGAUGGCACUCAAUCAUUAGAAUAACACUACAUUUAUUUGGGGGAAAGUCGACAGGUGUUGUGUGCUGUGGUGUUAGGCUAUGAGCGACAGGAGCCCAAGUCUGACAUACGUAAGAAGGAGGAACCCAGACGACAAAUAUUCGAGUCUGGUUUGCCUCCUAUAGGGAAGAGAACUCCUGUUUCCAGACAGUGGUUCACUGGCUUAAAGAAUACAUUCAACACAGAAUUCUGUUAUGCAUUCUGGUCUACAUCUCCUGAUUUGAAUGGAUGCUAACGCAUAAAAUUAAAAAUUUGAAACAGCAAUAUGGUGCCCUUUCUGGUGUGUGUG
RNAcentral lists this long non-coding RNA (2107 nucleotides) under Suricata suricatta (meerkat). RNAcentral describes it as "lncRNA (ENSSSUG00005023272.1)". Lineage: Eukaryota; Metazoa; Chordata; Mammalia; Carnivora; Herpestidae. The record is from RNAcentral.